GAUAUUCUACUUGUUCUACUGCCUUUCAUUCGAUUUCUUUACUUGCUUUUUAGGAUAGAUUUAUUUACUUUCUUUUGCUUUAGUUUAAAUUCGAGAAAAACAACCAACCUUUAAAACCAAUUUAGUCUAGACAUAAAGUUAAAAACCGUAGAAGAAUACCAGGCACAUAAAUCUCUGUGGAUUCGAUCCCUAAAUACUGCAACAGAUUAGCUGUGCACUUGCGGCUUUCUUUUGUUUUGUUAAGGGUAAAACUUGUUCCCUCACGUAGUUGACACACUCAGCACAACCGCAUCAAGGUUUUGGCGCCAUUGCCGGGGAUUUGUUUCGCUGCCUUUUGCUAUUUUUCUUGUUUUAACUUCUAUUCUAGACACCUGAUCUCUAGUUCUUUCUUAAAGUUUUUCUGAACUAUCUUUCCCUUCUUUUGUCUUUCUCUGAAUUGCAUGAAUACCAGGCGUAGACCUGCAGGACACAUUCCAAUUCUAGACGAGAUAGACAGACACGAAAGAGAACUUCGAAGACUUAGACGAACGCAAGGAAUGGCCAACGACGACCAGCCUGGAGAUCCUAUUAAUCGAAAUUUAAAUAUGGACCAAGAAGGGUCCGAACAUGGAGAAAACGAAGAGAAUGAUCACAUAGAAGGUGAUCAUGCUCGAGAGGAUGAAGAAGAGUCCAGAACCGAUGGAAAGAAAGAAGAAACCCCAAUCUUUGUACCUCUGUACAAGGAUAUCGAUCCCAAGCAGCCGCCGUUUAAGGUACCCGAACGAUCACCGUUUCAAAGGCUUACCAAAGCCGAUGAUCCGGGACGUUUUGUUUUCCAGUGUUUCAUUUCAGGAAUCAAGUUUACAGACUGCUUGUGCGAUUCCGGAGCCAAUGUCGACAUCAUAUCUAAGACAUUUGCCGAAAAAUUGGGCAUAAAAACCUUAAGGACAUCGACGGUUAAUGUUAUCUUUGGAGAUUCAUCUCAAAAAGAUACUGAAGGGGCGAUUCAUGAUCUACAAGUUCGAGUGGGAGAUAAGAUUGUUCCAGCAGAUUUCCAAGUUCUGGAGAUGGAUAAAGACAAGGAGAGGCCACUCAUUUUCGGGAGGCCAUUCCUAGCUACGGUGGGAGCAAUUAUCGAUCAUGCAAACCGGCACGCUGUUUUCCUCAAUGUGGACAGAAAAAUGUACUAUCCUACUAUCUUAGAUGAAUUUCCAAGCAAAGGAAACAGGCCAAAAGAGAAAGAAAAGGAGAAGCCGAAAGCUUUUGCAAAGAUCAAGAUCAUCAUUCCACCGAAUGCAACAGAAACUAGUGAAGACCAAAUCCAAGAGCUUAUCGAAAACACAAAAAGGGUUCUGAACAAUAUUAAGGUCCGAAAGAAGAUUAAAGGUAAGAAGACUCCUCUUCAAGGGGAAGAAGUAAAACCUCCACCAACCGGAAGUGAUAAAGGCACAUCAAAUGGAGUGCCAUUCAAAUCAGCCUGAUUCCUCAUGCUUACGUCGAGCUAAACGACUUAAAACAAAAGCGCUUAAUGGGAGGCAACCCAUUUAGGUACUCUUUCUUUUAGUUUUCUUUUCCAUUUUAGAAUUUAUGCUUUCUUUUUCUUUUUAAGUUUUAGGUAUUUUAUAAAACAAAAACACAAAAAAAUUAGAAAAUUAGAAAAACCAAAGAGAAAAAGGUAGGUCUUCAGCUGCUCGGCCCGGCAAAGACGAGAAGAUUGGACAAUAGGCCGCAGGAGGAAGAUCCGCGGUCACAACUGACGGGACCGCGACAAAUGGUGGAUCGACCGCGGCACCGUGAAUGCGACCGCGGCCGAGCCUUCAUCCACCGCGGUCGCGCGUCUUCUGACCGCGGCCGUUGGUCGUUGAGGUUGUGUCGCGGAUUUGUGACGUUUUUCGGUGAUUCCCGGUGUUUCCCGAAAUGUUCCCGGUAAAACCCGAAAAGAUCCUCCGUAAGUUUUAAACUUUCCUAAUGUGUAAACAAGAAAAGGUAAGUUCCCGUAAACUUAAAAAUUUCCAAAAAUUUUCCGUUUUUGCUUCAAAAACGCUUUUUAAAGAAAAAAAACAAAAUUUUUGGAUCAAAACUCUUUCUUCUCUUCUUCUCCAAAAGACUUAGAGAUUUAGGAGAAAGAACAGAUUUUUCAAUUCUUAAGCUUUUUAAAAGAUUCUUGGCUCAAACCUCACUCUUUUUCGAAGCUGAUUUCAAUUAUGCCAUCAAUUCUCUCUUUCCAGCAAGGUAUGAACCUCAAACUCACCAUUCUUACUCGAUUUUGAACUUAAGGUUUUCUUUAAAAACCCAAAAUCUUGGUCUAUUGAUGGUGGAAAUAGCUUAAGGAUGAUAGAUUAUCCAUUUAGGUUAUCUAAAAAUCGAUUUUAGCACCUAGAUUAAGAGGAAUUGAGAUUUUUGAAAUUUGGAUUCUUCAUGCUUCAUAAAAAUCGAAUUUGGAACAGCAAAAUUGAUGAAUUUGACUUAGUCUUGUGUGAUUAGUGAUUAGUAUUAGGUAAUCUUUAGAAUUCACAUGGAAAUUGCUCAUAAAAACUUAUUUUUAGAAGAUUUCUAUGUUGAGGACAUCAAAAAUCCGAAUUUAGUCAUGAACUACUUGAUUUCUCUGAUUUAAUAUCAAUUUUGUUUGCUAAUAGUUUUAAUUAAUCUCUUUAUACUAGCAUUAGUAUAACAGAUCUUAAUGUGUUAAAAUUUGCAACCCAAAUUCACUCUUUUUCCAAGAAUCAUUUCAUUUUGCAGAAAAUGGAUGAAACCAGAUCCCGAAGGAGCCGUCGAACUGGUGGCAGCUCCGAUGACAUUCCCGACGAUGCUACUCUAAGAGAGUACAUGCUGAACCAAGCCAGACCGAGAAGAAGAAGCUAUGUGAUGAGAUUGCUCCAGCACUCGAAGGAAACACGAGCACCUCCCGAACCACAACAAAUUCGAUACAUUGGGAGGGAGACAAACCCGAGAGUGGACUAUGCAAGGCGUUUCAAGAAGCUGAACAUCAAACCCACGCCUUGCAUUGAUUAUCAUACACUUGAGAUGCUUGGAAUCAGAGAGGAUGUGAUCUGGUACAUCGAUGCACUUAUGCUAAGACCCUACUUGGAGCUGAACCUUCCGACUUAUCCUGAGCUAGUCCGUGAGCUUCUAGCGACCGUUACACUCCACCACACGGGAAGGAGGAACCCAGAGCAUCAGAUGACAUCUUGUCAUUCUCUAUCCGCGGACAGCCUUAUUCUCUCACCAUUUCCGAGGUUUGUGAAGCUCUUAAGCUUCCAUACACUGAUGGCAUUUAUCUUGAAGAUGAACCUGAUCUGAACCUGUGGAGAGAGAUGGGUCAUGGAGCCUAUGAUAGUGGGAGAUCUAAGUCAGCCCUCCUUAGCCACCCAGCAGUGAGAGUUGUGCACAAACUCUUAGCGCACACGAUUUUCUUUAGAGCCAACAUGGGAGGCGUUUUGAAGACUGAGCUCAUUACACUUCAGAUUCCGUUUAUGGAUGAUCCACGACUUGCUUGCUUUGCCUGGAUCAUAGCGCAGAAUAUGGUGAAGGUAAAGCAUGAUUUACAUGGUUGCGAUGACGCUACUCCAGCCUUCGGGAGUGCUAUUACAGCGAUACUACAGGCUGUAGGAUUUGAUUUCUCAUCUGAUGAUCCACUUCCCGACGUCUGGUAUGAUCUACUUUAUCUCUCUCGCGAUCACACUAUCUCUCGUGCCGAUUUCGAUCCAGACAGGUUUGGUUACAAGUAUUGCACUGGCACUGAGGAGCACCGAGUCCGCUUACCUUCAGCAUCUAUCCCGAGAUUGAGUACCGGAGGACGCCCUUGAUGGACUCCAGAAUCCGAUGAUUUUCUGCCAUCCGUACCUCGUCUACCAUUCACCAUUGGCCAGUACAUAGUGGCCAAGGCGAGGCGUGAUGCAGCUGCGGCCCGUGCUCAUUUUCAGCCAUCCAUUCCGACCGGCCACACCUCAUCAUCUACAUCAUCCCACACUCAUUCCGACCUGGAGCGCAGGGUUGAGAGACAGGGACGACGCUUUGAGCGCGUUGUAACCUUCCUACAGGAGCAGCACCAGUUCGCAGACGACACUUCAGAGGAUGACUGAUUGAUCAGCACUUCACUACCAUCACGGUUCUAUCAUCAUUUUCUUUUCUUUUAUCUUAUUUCAUUUCGUUUUUAUUCACCAUCUUCUCACCAACUUUUUCACACUGGGGACAGUGUGAUUUAAGUCUGGGGGAGGAUGCCUAUCCGUACUAAUCAUUUUCCUGCUUUGCUUUUAAAUUUCAAGUACUUUUUAAAUUUUAAUAUGUAACCUAUUCGACAUUAAGUAUUUUUCAGGAAUGUUUGACGCAAAACUAUGAUGAUUUAGACCUGCACACUUCUACACUAUGCAUGAUAGCUCAUUUGUGGUUAGCACUAGACUAGGCAGUAGCUAGAGUACUUGCACUACGAACUCCCACCAGAGGACUUCUAUUCAUGGAGAUUCUUUCUGACAGGAUAUACUAGCUCAUUUUAUUUGAACUUAAUAUUGAUAUCUAAUUUUCUCAUCAUUGAUUUUAGGCAGGCAUCGACAUACACAUCUAGGACGUCUUUUACCAUCACUUUUACCACUCUUUGUCGUCCUAGAUGACCAGUUUAUCUUUAUCUGGUACCAUAUCCUAAACCCAAAACUCUUGUUUUCAAUCCUCAUGCAUUCUCUCUUUAGUUUAUAUCAGCAGAUAUGUGCAAAAACGUCGGAGAGAAGAGGAGCGAUGCAGUUUUCAGUCACUCACAAAGGAGACUGAAUGGAAUUGGGAAGGAGGAGUAUUAGAAACAUAAUAAAGCUUUACAAGACAGAUAUUAACUGGUAAAUUCGUGCUCUCUAAGACUCUAUAUCUAAAGGUGUUCCCUUUCUCUAAAAAAAAAAAAAAAAAAAAAAAAAAACGUGAAAAGAGAAAGAGAAACAUAAAGCCUAAUGAGUCUUAGAUUGUCGAAAUUUGUGGAGCAAUGAGCAACCACUAUUCGUUUAAGGAGCUAUUGUUUUGAAAGAUUUACAAAAAUCUAAGUCUGGGGGAGUUUGGAGAGAACCUGAGGAAGAAGACCAUGAAUCUAUGUUAAGAAAAAGUGACUGAAAACUGUGGAUACCAACAGCUUCACUCUCUCUUGCGGUUUUGCAUAAUGUCCUGCACCCUCCAGAUCUUCAGGUAACCCUUAAACACUUUAAGCCACACCCCCAAAAUAAUCCUUCCUUACACCUAGCCUAGAUUGCCUUGCCUAGAUUUUCUAUGAUGAGAACCACCGAAAUUUUAAUGAAUGUUAAGAGUUAGUUGACUGGAAGUUAGAUCUUAGUGCAUAGAUUUCUGCAUGACGGAUUAACGGACUAGUUAUGCCUGUAUUGCUAGUGAGAAUUUUCUAGGCUAUUCCCAAUUGAUGCAUACUGAUUGAUAUUGGUCUAGAAGUUUGGUCUCUGAGAUUUUGUUUAGUUCCUGCGUUUUCAAACCUCUCGCCGAGAUUAGCCUUUGUUUUGUUUGAGGACAAACAAAAGACUAAGUCUGGGGGAGUUGAUAACACCGGAUUUUGACCAUUUUUAUGGAUCAUUUUAAUAUCUUUUACAGGUGUUUUUACUCCAUUUUCAAAGGUUUUCAAAGGAUUUCUAUGUUUCCGGAUUUUAAAAGACUUUUCAGGUAAUUUGGGAUAAAGAGGCACAAAAUGGAACAAAAAGACUCUUUUGGAUAAAUGCAGACCGUCAGAACUCUCAUGGAGAGACGAAGACCUUCUCACCGUCUGAUCACCCCCAAAAUUGGACAACUUAUAGAAGAAUCAACCAGCUUUCAAAUGCACUUGGUUUGGAGACAUUCCAACGGUUGGAUCUCAAGAUAAUCCAUUAGCCCCGAAGCCACGCGGAGUCGGCCAGCAGCUCACGCGACCGCGGCCAGCAACCUAUUUGCCGCGGUCAGAAGCUUCCCGACCGCGGGAAACAAGCCAAUUGCCGCGGUCACAGCACUCCCGACCGCGGCAUUCAAGCUCCGACUUAAAGCCCACUUAUCUGAAGCCCAAAGUCAUUCCCAGCCUCAAUUCCGGAACCCUAGAGACCAUGGAGCAUUGGAGACUAUAAAUACAUGUCAUUUUGGUCGUUUUUAGAGAGAGCUUUACACACUUUGCAGAAACCCUUUUUCCUUUAGCCGUUUUUAUGAGAUUUUUGUAGAAGAUUGUUCAAGUCCGAGUUCUUCAAUAGAGAAGCUUUCUUUAUCUCUUUUCUUUACUGUUUUUCAUUACUUUUAUUGAAACCAAUGAUGAUGUCGAACUCAGCCAUGUCUGAGUAGAUCCCGAGUUGGGCUUAGGGUUCCCGAAAGGGGCUCUCAUAAUCGAUUAAGACAUCUAGGUUUAUAGAUCUGGGAUUUCGACCUGUUCUCUGUUUAUUCUUGUUCUUAUUGCAUGUAUGCUUGAUUGAUCACCUAGUAUCUGAUCUAGAUAGUUAGUGUUGCGAAAGUUUUCAUUAAGUAUCAGCCCUAGAAUGAAACAGGCGAUUUUUCCGUAGGAGUGGAAACCUACCUGCGGUGAGAUCGUGAGUAUUGACGAGUCUUAUGCAGCUCUUGCGUUCUCUCCCUUCCAGGGCCAGAGUGGAAACCUACUGGUCAGGGUUGCGAGAAACAGUUGGUUAUGAUCACGACAGUGACGUAGUCAUACCGCCGUACUCUAGCUCUAGAACCCAUAUAUUGUUAUCCGUCAAUCCCAAUCUAUCUACCCUAAUGUUAAAACCGAUUAUGAUCCCUUAGAGUUCCCAAAAGCUCAGCGUUUUUAGCCAUAGUUUACAAUUUCCAUCGAUUUUUACAUGCUUUCUUAGACCUGCAUUUUAAUUUCCUUAGUUCGUUAUUUACUUGCUUUAUUUACAUUUCAUGCGAUAUUUUACUUGCCUUAUCUUUGUUUAGUUCGAUAUUCUACUUGUUCUACUGCCUUUCAUUCGAUUUCUUUACUUGCUUUUUAGGAUAGAUUUAUUUACUUUCUUUUGCUUUAGUUUAAAUUCGAGAAAAACAACCAACCUUUAAAACCAAUUUAGUCUAGACAUAAAGUUAAAAACCGUAGAAGAAUACCAGGCACACAAAUCUCUGUGGAUUCGAUCCCUAAAUACUGCAACAGAUUAGCUGUGCACUUGCGGCUUUCUUUUGUUUUGUUAAGGGUAAAACUUGUUCCCUCACGUAGUUGACACACUCAGCACAACCGCAUCACCUUUGCGGGAUCAAUCUCCUCCAGAUGCCUUCCAUUGCUGGACAAUCACGCAAAAUGUGCAUAAUCGUUUCGUCGCCACUCUUACAUACCUGACAUAAACCCGAGUCACUAAGAUGUCUCCUUUGACGCUCAACAUUCGUCAUCAACACUUGGUGAACACCCAACCAAACAAAGCUCCGCACUCUCUCCGGUACAACCAAGUUCCAAAUCUGCUGAAACAGAGAGCUCAAAUUCGGUCUCGGUGUAUCAUCCGUAGUCAACUUCGAAUAAGACGACUUCACUGUGAAAAGCCCAUCAGAAUUUCCUCCCCAAGCCAUCAUAUCUUCCAAUGCAGCUACAUUAUCAAUCACCACCGAACCAAGCUGUAGAAGGACAUCCACGGAUACAUACGGCCUGAUAUUUUGAGUCAACCCGUCCCAUGCUGCCAUAAAUCACAAGCCCGCAGUUCUUCUGAACCAGCCGGUAAUGGCAUAAUAGUUACCUCCCGUAGGGGUUUCUUCAACAACCAUGCGUCCUCCCAAAGUCGAAUCUUCUUACCAUCGCCGAUAGCCCAGCUCAUUCCCGGGAUCACCACCUCUCGUAGCCCCACGUUCACACUUCUCCAUGUCGAAGACCAAUUACUUUAGGAACCCUCCAAGAUGGAUCAUGAACAUCCUUCACCUUGUAUUUGCAUCUUAUAACUCUUGCCCACAAGCUUUGACGAUCAUUUAAUAAUCUCCAUCCUAGCUUGGCAAUAAGAGAUUUAUUCAUGUCAGACGCCGCUCUGAUCCCUAAGCCCCCUUCACACUUCGGCCGACACACCUUCUUCCAACUCAAUAAAUGUUGAUUUCUUUUCCCAUUCUCGCUUCCCCAAAGAAAAUUCCUCGAAGCUUUCUCCAAACUUUCUAACAUCGAUUUCGGUAAUAGAAUCGUGCUCAUGGUAUGAACCGGAAUCGAUGAAAGAACCGAUUUAGUCAUCGUAAUUCUCCCCGCGAGACUCAAGCAUCUACCUUUCCAACCCGCCAACCUUGAAGAGACCCUCUCCAAAACAUCUCCAAACGUGGUUUUAUUGAUCCGUUUCUGCAAGAUAGGCAUCCCGAGAUAUUUCCCCAACUCCCGCGUCGACCUAAUACCACUCUCAUCACUUAUUGCUUUCCCUAAAUCACGGCUAACAUUGCUCGAGAAAAAGAUUUUUGACUUCUCCAAACUAAUCUUUUGAACCGAAGCAACACAAAACCUCUCCAACACUCGCCGGAUAACCCUUAUUUGCGCAACCGAGGCUUCAGCAAACAAGAUGAGAUCAUCCGCAAAGCAUACAUGAGAAAGCUUAGGACCCCCUCGAGACAAGGUGAUCGGUUUCCAACCACCCGAACCUAUCUCCUGAUCAAUCAAGUGACACAGCCUCUCAAGACACAAGACAAAGAGGUACGGUGAAAGCGGGUCACCCUGUCUUAAACCCCUCAUCGGUUUGAAUGACUCUGAUUUCUCCCCAUUCCAAAGUACGUUCAUAGACGGGCCCGUGACGCAUUUCAUGAUCCAGGAAAUCCACUUCUCAGGAAACCUCGCUGCAACUAAUGUAUCUACUAAGAAAUCCCAACGGAUUCGAUCAUAUGCUUUCUCGAGAUCCAGCUUAAGCAACAUCCAUCCUUUACGCCCUUUCUUCCUCCGCAUCGAGUGAACCGCUUCCUGAACAAUAAUAAUGUUAUCAGAGCUUAACCGACCCGGUAUAAAGCUGGAUUGAGCAGGUCCUAUAAGCUGCGGCAUCACCACUUUCAUUCUCGUCACCAACACUUUAGUUAUGAUUUUAAAGAGCACAUUACACAAGCUGAUCGGCCGAAAUUGUGUAAUAGUUUCUGGUUUUCCCACUUUCGGAAUCAAAACAAGCAGCGCAUCAUUUAAUCCUUCCUGCAAAAUUCCCUUCUCAAAAAUUCCAACACAAACCUCUCCACCGAGCUACCAACAACAUCCCAACACUCUUGAUAGAACCCCUGUUGAAAUCCAUCCGGUCCAGGAGCCUUAAACUUCCCCAUACUCCUUAAUGCCUCCUGAACUUCCAAACAAGUAAAUGGCCUAUUCAAACCAUGAGAAUCAUGCCGAGCCAACACCGCAAAACCCGCGGAUGGUAACAACUCCACCACCGGUUCAACAUCAACCAUAGAGUAAAGCCUUUUGUAAUACUCCACCGCCAUAUUCUCUAGCUCUUCCGGAUUUGAAAUCCACCUCCCAUCAUUACCUUUCAACAUCUCAAUUCGAUUUCGCCCCCUCCGAAUAAUCGUUGUAGUGUGAAAGAACUUCGUGUUGCGAUCUCCAAGGGCUAUCCCUUUCUCUCUUGAUUUUUGAAACCAAAGGAUUUUCUCUUGUUCUAAAACCAAAUCGAGCUCCUUAAUUAACUCACUCUCCCUUUCCAGCAACUCUGUGGUUUGAAUAAUAUCAAUCUGGUCUUGAACUUGCUUCACUUCCGCAAGUAAAUCAUCCUUACGUUUAUGCACGUUUCCAAACACAUCCCGGUUCCAUCUUUUAAGCUUGUCUCGCAACCUUUUCAAAGCUUGUGGCGUUGAUAUAUCAGGAUUCCAAGAAUUUCACAGCAACUCCUUAAAACUCUUAUGUGUUAUCCAAGCCGCUUCAAAGCGGAAGGGCCUCCUCU
RNAcentral lists this long non-coding RNA (9785 nucleotides) under Eutrema salsugineum. Its description in RNAcentral is "long non-coding RNA (ESAL_LNC000857)". Lineage: Eukaryota; Viridiplantae; Streptophyta; Magnoliopsida; Brassicales; Brassicaceae. The record is from RNAcentral.